RNAcentral lists this ribosomal RNA (253 nucleotides) under uncultured bacterium. RNAcentral's name for it is "partial 16S ribosomal RNA". It matches the Rfam family "Bacterial small subunit ribosomal RNA", at positions 524 to 776 of the family's 1533-position model. The record is from RNAcentral.
UACGUAGGGGGCUAGCGUUGUCCGGAAUCAUUGGGCGUAAAGAGCGUGUAGGCGGCCCGGUAAGUCCGCUGUAAAAGUCAAAGGCUCAACCUUUGAAUGUCAGUGGAUACUGCCGGGCUAGAGUCCGGAAGAGGCGAGUGGAACUCCUGGUGUAGCGGUGGAAUGCGCAGAUAUCAGGAAGAACACCAACGGCGAAGGCAGCUCGCUGGGACGGUACUGACGCUGAGACGCGAAAGCGUGUGGAGCGAACAGG